ACGACUCAUACUACCAUACAAGACACGGAGUUAGACCUUCUUGGUGAAAGAUGGAUUUGAUCGUUUAUGAGGAUUUAAAAACUGUUGUUAAAACCAUAUUGUCCAUAAUCUAGACACCCGAAAUUUCAGUUUUUGCAUCUUAUGCGGUUAUUUCUCCCUUAAUUUAUUUAAGGAUGCCUGUGGAAGCUCCGGAAGCUGAAAAUAUCAAAGUUGUGGUAAGAUGUCGACCUAUGAAUGAAAGCGAAAUAGCGGCGAAUUACAGAAGCAUAGUUAAGGUAAAUUCAAUUGAAGGAACUGUGACUCUGUGUAAUCCAAGUUCUUCAGAAUAUGAUCCUCCAAAGACAUUUACAUUUGAUACAGUAUUUGGAACAGACUCAACCCAGUUGGAUGUAUAUAACUUGGCGGCUCGGCCAAUUGUUGAUAAUGUACUGGAAGGUUAUAAUGGUACUAUAUUUGCAUAUGGGCAGACUGGAACAGGAAAAACUUUUACAAUGGAAGGCAAUCGAGAAAUUCCUGAACAGAAAGGAAUUAUUCCAAACUCAUUUGCACACAUUUUUGGACAUAUAGCAAAAGCUGAAGGAGAUAAAAGGUUUCUUGUCCGUGCUACAUAUUUAGAGAUAUAUAAUGAAGAAGUUAGAGAUCUUCUUGGAAAAGAUCAAAGUAUACGCUUAGAGGUGAAAGAGCGCCCAGACAUUGGAGUUUAUGUUAAAAAUCUGACAGGUGUGGUUGUAAAAAAUGCUGAUGACUUGGAUCGUAUCAUGACACUUGGAAGCAAAAAUAGAGUUGUUGGAGCAACUAACAUGAAUUUGCACAGCUCUAGGUCACAUGCAAUAUUUAGUAUUACCGUUGAAAGUUGUGAAGAAGGAUUUGAUGGAAAGGAGCACAUUCGAGCUGGAAAACUGCACUUGGUGGAUCUAGCAGGAUCAGAGCGUCAGAGUAAAACUGGAUCAUGUGGUCAACGCUUGGUUGAAGCAACAAAAAUUAAUUUAUCUUUGUCUAGUUUAGGGAAUGUUAUUUCUGCUCUUGUAGAUGGAAAAAGCACCCACAUCCCAUACAGAAAUUCUAAACUUACAAGAUUGUUACAAGAUUCUUUAGGAGGCAAUUCAAAGACUCUUAUGUGUGCUAAUAUUGGGCCAGCUGAAUACAAUUAUGAUGAAAGCUUGAGUACUUUGAGAUAUGCCAACAGAGCUAAGAACAUUAAAAAUAAGGCACGCAUUAAUGAAGAUCCUAAAGAUACUAUGCUUAAAAAGUUUAGAGAUGAAAUUGAAGAGCUGAAAAAGCAAUUAGAAGAUGCUAGUGAAGGUGGUACUGAAUCUGGAGAAGAUAUAUCUGAAAAAGGAGAUGAAGAAAUAAAACCUAAAUCUCAUAGAAAGAAAACAUACUCAGAAGAAGAGGUAAAAAAAAUGAAAGAACAGAUUGAAUUAGACAGAAAAGCCCUAGCUGAACGAAAAGACCUUCUAGAGGAGGAGCGUCAAAAAAUCAGCAAUGAAUUAGAAAAAAGAGAAAAGGACUUAGAAGGAAUUAGACUGGAUCAUGAUACUUUGCUUCAUAAACUUCAAAGUUUGGAAAAACAAAUUAUAAUAGGUGGUGAAAAUCUUCUUGAGAAAGCUCAGGAACAGGAAAAGUUAUUAGAGGAGAGUGCUAAAGAGCUGGAAGAGAGAAAGAAUAAACAGAUAGAGCUGAGGAAAGCUUUGGAGGAAAAAGAGACAGAGCGAUUAAAUAUUGAAGAAAAGUAUUCUAGCCUUCAAGAAGAAGCUGCAGGAAAAACAAAAAAGUUGAAAAAAGUCUGGCAAAUGCUUCUUAGUGCAAAGAAUGAGCUUAACGAUCUCCGACAAGAACAUCAGAGAGAAAUGGAAGGUCUGCUCGAAAAUAUUCGACAAUUAGACAGGGAACUUAGCCUCAAUAAGCUUAUUAUUGAUAUGUUCAUUCCUCCCGAGUAUCAAGAUGUUAUUGAACAAGCAGUCCAAUGGAAUGAAGAUAUUGGCGAAUUUCAGUUGAAAUGUGUUGCAUAUACAGGCAAUAAUAUGAGGAAGCAGCUUCCAGUUGUUGAUAAAGAGAAAAAGAAAGAGGUUGAUAAUCUAGAUCUGUCACAUCUUUAUUUGUCUUAUAACACCGAUAAUGUAACAAGAAUACCUACUCGCUUGAAAUCAUCUCGUGGAAAGCCUGGACGUUCUCAUUCUUCUAGGCCAAAAUCUUCAAGAAAAUGAAGAAAAUUUUAUUUAGCUUUUCAAGUAUAUUAGCUUUUAUCUGUGUUAAUUUAGCUUCAUUGUAGCCACAAAGUGCUGGAGGAAUUCAACUGACUUGGCAUUAACUUUGAAUAAUUUACUUCAAAAGAAAGAAAAACUUUUUUCCAUUUCUGCAGAUGCAUAUGUGUCUUGAAACAUAGUAAGCUUCUUUACUGAAAUUUAUGCUACACAGAAUUAAAUUUUGCACAUAUGAAAGCUCAAAUUGACAUGCAUCUCUUGCAAUCCUCAAAUUUCCAUAUUUAAUGAUUCCACAAAAUAUAGUUAAUAUGUUUCUAUAUAUUGUAGAAAGACCAAAAUCUUCACCUUCAGACCCCCACCCCCAUUUUUACAAAAUUUCAGAAUGGAGAAUACUCUGGGAAAAACAGAAAGAUGUCAUAAAAUCAAUUUUUCUUCUAUGUCACCAGCUGACAAAAAAAAAAAAAAAAAAAACACCAUGGCCAAUGAUGAUGCAUUGAUUGAUGUUAGCCAUGAGCAUACUUUUGGUGCUUCAAUGGUUGUGGAGGUCAGAAGGAAAGGUUAACAUUUUAAUAUUUUUCUAUCUAUAGCCUAAACAAAAAGGGAAAUCCUAAAACAUUUGUUUGGAGUCGGAUGUUGCUAAUGCUAGUUUUCCUUUGUUGGCAUUAAAAUUAGAUUUGAUAAGCACAGCAAACUGCACUCUUCCGUAACUAAUUUGGCAGAAAUUUUCAGUUGAAGUAAUAAGAAUCAAAGCGUGACAUACGACAUCAUAGGUUCAACGUUAUAUAUUACCUAUAUUAGUUUUUGAUGAAAAUCUUGAAAAACAGAUUGCUAAUUUUCCAUUGUUUAAAUGCCUGUUUCUUCUUUUAAUUGAUUCUCAGGUUGUUAUUUUUUGGUUAAUUUAUUCAUAUUUGUUGUUAGGUGCUUUCUCAUGUUUGGAUUGUUUACUUGUACAAAUUAAGCUGGUGAUUUAUUUUUAUUAUAUCUUUCUUUAUUUUUUAAUGCUUUUCAAUUAAUAUCCUAUUCUAAUUGUUAAACUUAUUUCACUUUUGUU
Stegodyphus dumicola is the source of this 3255-nucleotide RNA transcript. It is a transcript of the gene named kinesin-like protein 64D, with no coding region annotated. Lineage: Eukaryota; Metazoa; Arthropoda; Arachnida; Araneae; Eresidae. The record is from RefSeq and is a predicted model, not a curated record.